RNAcentral lists this ribosomal RNA (215 nucleotides) under uncultured fungus. Its description in RNAcentral is "partial small subunit ribosomal RNA". The stretch from base 40 to 215 matches the Rfam family "Eukaryotic small subunit ribosomal RNA", at positions 686 to 864 of the family's 1831-position model. The record is from RNAcentral. Lineage: Eukaryota; Fungi.
GGGUUAGUAGGUUGGUCGUGCCUCUGGUAUGUACUGGCCUUACUGAUUCCUCCCUCUUGACGAACUGUGAUGUCAUUAAUUUGAUGUUGCAGGGAAUCAGGACUGUUACUUUGAAAAAAUUAGAGUGUUUAAAGCGGGCAUUUGCUUGAAUACAUUAGCAUGGAAUAAUGAAAUAGGACGGACGGUUCUAUUUUGUUGGUUAUGGGACCACCGUA